CAUUUGUAAACACGAUGAAACUCUUGUCGAUACAUUUCGUCGAUAUGACAGGUUUCCUAACCCUAAAUAAUGUAAACUUUAAUGAUUAAUUUCGUUUUGCGAGGUAGAGCGAUGCUUUUUUUCUGCCAGAUUCUUUCGUUUUAGACGCAAAGACGCGUCGAAGCCUUUUUGUCAAAAUCGAAGAAAGCUGUAUGAAACAAAUUGAAAAUUGUGGCUUCCUCAAAUCAGAGAAGUAAUAACUUUAAGGCUACACAAAUCAUGAAAGAAACGUUUGUAAAGAAUUAUACAGAGACAAAAGCCGAGGAGUAUUUCAGAUAUAUGAAUAGUAAAGAUGGAAAUAGAGAAGAAUUAAAUAUGACAUCCUCAGGAUUAGAUGAUCUACUAAAACUCUAUGUAGAUCUGGCUAAAAUCUAUCGAGAGUGCAAUUUUACUUAUAAUCUAAAAUUUAAUGAUUUAUCUAUCUUAACUGAAAGAAACAAGAUACUGUCUAUAAUCAAGAUAAAUUCUGUACUCAUUAUUCAGGGAACAACCAGCUGUGAAAAAAUAACUUAGAUUCCACGAUUCUUAAUACUUAUAUGAAAAAGAGGCUUAACUGUGAUGUUAUAGUUACGCAACCAAGACAAAUUGCUGCGAUAAGUGUUGCCAAAAGAGUCAGCCAAGAAGGAAAUUGGAAUCUUGGUAGCCUCGUAGCCUUGAUAGCCUCGAGCUAUAUAGUACCGUGAAAAGGGAAACUUCACUUGAAAUUUGUUUAACUACAUCACCAAAAUUCUACUCCAACAUAUAAUUGAGCAUUAACAUAUAUUGAAUUAUACGCACAUUAUAUUAGAUGAAAUUCAUGAACUAGACCAAAAUUUUGAUUUUCUAUUAUUUGUUGUUAAAAGAUUAUUACAAAUAAAUUCUAGACAGGUCAAAGUUAUUCUCAUGUCGGCAAUAAUCAAUGUAACAAAAUUUACAAAAUACUUUUCAAAUGAAUUAGCAAUAUCGAAAUUCUCCAAUUAUCAAAAUUCCCGAAAA
Molecule: long non-coding RNA, 1014 nt
Organism: Pogonomyrmex barbatus (red harvester ant)
Lineage: Eukaryota; Metazoa; Arthropoda; Insecta; Hymenoptera; Formicidae
Source: RefSeq, a predicted model, not a curated record